Molecule: ribosomal RNA, 207 nt
Filed under: uncultured bacterium
Lineage: Bacteria
Description: partial 16S ribosomal RNA
Rfam family: Bacterial small subunit ribosomal RNA
Source: RNAcentral
CGUGCAGGCGGUUUGGCAAGUCAGAUGUGAAAGCCCUGGGCUUAACCCGGGAAGUGCAUUUGAAACUGCCUUUCUUGAGUAUGGGAGAGGAGAGUGGAAUUCCCAGUGUAGAGGUGAAAUUUGUAGAUAUUGGGAGGAACACCCGUGGCGAAGGCGACUCUCUGGACCAAUACUGACGCUGAGACGCGAAAGCGUGGGGAGCAAACA